CACGUACUGUGCAAACGAUAUUCGGAAUCACUGGGCUUAAAGGGUGCGUAGGCGGCCGAUUAAGUAGGGUGUGAAAUCCCUCGGCUCAACCGAGGAAUGGCGCUCUAAACUGGACGGCUUGAGUGAGAUAGGGGUGUGCGGAACUUCCGGUGGAGCGGUGAAAUGUGUUGAUAUCGGAAGGAACGCCGGUAGCGAAAGCGGCACACUGGGUCUUAACUGACGCUGAGGAACGAAAGCCAGGGUAGCGAACGGG
Molecule: ribosomal RNA, 253 nt
Filed under: uncultured bacterium
Lineage: Bacteria
Description: partial 16S ribosomal RNA
Rfam family: Bacterial small subunit ribosomal RNA
Source: RNAcentral